UACGAAGGGGGCUAGCGUUGUUCGGAAUUACUGGGCGUAAAGCGCACGUAGGCGGACAUUUAAGUCAGGGGUGAAAUCCCAGAGCUCAACUCUGGAACUGCCUUUGAUACUGGGUGUCUUGAGUAUGGAAGAGGUGAGUGGAAUUCCGAGUGUAGAGGUGAAAUUCGUAGAUAUUCGGAGGAACGCCAGUGGCGAAGGCGGCUCACUGGUCCAUUACUGACGCUGAGGUGCGAAAGCGUGGGGAGCAAACAGG
Molecule: ribosomal RNA, 253 nt
Filed under: uncultured bacterium
Lineage: Bacteria
Description: partial 16S ribosomal RNA
Rfam family: Bacterial small subunit ribosomal RNA
Source: RNAcentral